GUUAGUGCACGGGGGCUGAGCCUUUCAUGGUUUGAAAUUCCCACUGGUGCCACGGGACAGAACACCUAACUUGCUCAGGUGGAGGACCACUGUGUUGGACUUUAGGUGAGAAGCUGGAUCAUGGUGUCAGAACAAAUAGACAGAGGAGGUGGACUUGAGUGCUGUGUUAGUACCACUUGGUUUCCCAGCUGGCUGCUUUUGACCCAACAGGGCCGCUCAGAGUUGUGGAGUAGACCACUGGAGCGUUUCAACAGGGCUAAAGUUACCAGGAAACCAGACAAGCCUAGAAAAGCCAUGAAACAAUCAACCUCAAGCAGGAAAGCGAUGAAGAAGAGUAAGAACCCCUGUCAACGCAAG
Long non-coding RNA from Hipposideros armiger (great roundleaf bat), 357 nucleotides. RefSeq lists it as uncharacterized. The transcript has 3 exons. NCBI's taxonomy places the organism in Eukaryota, Metazoa, Chordata, Mammalia, Chiroptera, Hipposideridae. The record is from RefSeq and is a predicted model, not a curated record.